Molecule: long non-coding RNA, 165 nt
Organism: Oreochromis niloticus (Nile tilapia)
Lineage: Eukaryota; Metazoa; Chordata; Actinopteri; Cichliformes; Cichlidae
Exons: 3
Source: RefSeq, a predicted model, not a curated record
GAGUGAACAGAUCUUUGGUUUUGCCUUUGCUGACUGCUGAUCUGAUCGUCUCAAGUCUGGUGACCUGCUGCAGAAGAUCCUCUCUCUCUAUCAUUAUAAGCAAUUCUGUCUAUCCUAUCACUCUCCCGACUCUAUCUAAUUUGACAGCCAUUCUAUCUUGUAUCC